This 600-nucleotide ribosomal RNA is filed under the name Lucanus datunensis. RNAcentral describes it as "partial 16S ribosomal RNA". It matches the Rfam family "Bacterial large subunit ribosomal RNA", at positions 1772 to 2645 of the family's 2925-position model. The record is from RNAcentral. Lineage: Eukaryota; Metazoa; Arthropoda; Insecta; Coleoptera; Lucanidae.
UGAAGGAAUUCGGCAAAUUUCUUUUUGCCUGUUUAAUAAAAACAUGGCUUUUUGUAUUAGAUAUGAGGUCAGGCCUGCCCAAUGAUGAUUUAAAUGGCUGCGGUAUACUGACCGUGCAAAGGUAGCAUAAUCAUUAGUUUUUUUAUUGGAAGCUGGAAUGAAGGGUUUAACGAGAAAGAAGCUGUCUUAAUUUGAUUAUUUGAAUUUUAUGUUUGAGUGAGAAAGCUUAAAUAGGUUUGAGGGACGAGAAGACCCUAUAGAAUUUAAUAGUUUAGAUGUUUUGGAGUUUUGGUUUAAUAUGGCUAGGAUGGGUAAGAUUAUUUUGUUGGGGUGAUAGGAAAAUUUGAUUAACUUUUUUUUUUAUUUUUGUCAUUAGUAAGUGAAUAUUUGAUCCAUUAAGAGUGAUUAUAAGAGGAAAUUACCUUAGGGAUAACAGCGUAAUUAAUCUGGAGAGUUCAAAUCGAUAGAUUAGUUUGCGACCUCGAUGUUGGAUUAAAAUUGGCUUUUGGUGUAGGGACUAUAGGGCUAAGUCUGUUCGACUUUUAAAAUUUUACAUGAUCUGAGUUUAAACCGGCGUGAGCCAGGUUGGUUUCUAUCUUU